Molecule: long non-coding RNA, 917 nt
Filed under: Calidris pygmaea (Spoon-billed sandpiper)
Lineage: Eukaryota; Metazoa; Chordata; Aves; Charadriiformes; Scolopacidae
Description: lncRNA (ENSCPGG00000003543.1)
Source: RNAcentral
GUCAAAAGAUACUUUCUUCCGUUAGAGGAUGCUUUUCCACUUUUUUCUCUUUUACUUAGAUGACUCCUAAAUACUUCAGUUUCUACGAACAGCUGGUCCAACCGUCGACUGGAUGGGGCUGAGGGAACUUGUAACUGGCUCUACACAUGCUAUGGAUGUUGCCAAGAAAGCAAGUUUGCCUCUAAGAACAUCCAGUGCCUUUGAAAAAUGCAGCAUGUGUAAGUGGUAUCUCGGUUGCAGUACCUUUCAUCACUCAGAAAAAAUUUUCAGUGCCAGAAGCCUGAGAAAAUGAUGGGACUGAGAUAAGAACUGAAGAUAUGUGAAGAUUUCAGAGUUUACAAAGGAAAUACGAUAAUUUUCUUGGCCCUGUCCUCUAAACUUUUUCCCAUAGGAAAAUUUUCACAGCCUCAACCAACUCCACAAGUAGGUGGUGUCCAGGCAUGUACAAAAAUCUUAACAUGUGAGCAACUCAUGAGAAUGUAGUGUCCACCUGAGUGCUGGGAACCAUACAGCUUUGCAAAGCAGAGCAGCACCAAAUGGGAGAAGCACACAUGAAGCAUUGUUAUUUGUGUACAUCUAACUGAAACUUUUAUUUUUAUUCAGUUUUGUAUCUAGGUCAAGUGCAAGAGAAGCAAGCCUUUCUUACCUGCAGUGUACUCUAUUAGUGUUAUCGCUGUGCCAGAAAUGACCAAUUUUUCUAUUAUAAUAUUACUCCUACAAGUUGGCUGCCAAAAAAAUGUUAAAGUUUUGCCAAAUUAUCUGCUCAUAUUUGUAUAAAAUAUAUGUUGCAUAUGAGAUUAAUAUCACUGUAGAGAGUGGAGACUGAAUGGUUUUUUGUAUGUGAUACCAUAUAUAUUAAACAACCUUGAUCAAUAAGUUGUUGUCCUCUACAUUUAGUAAAGACAUGAAAAUACUGA